GAUAGUGUUGCAAUAAUCCAUAGGUAGCUGCUGGUGUUUGGGUGUUGGCCAAGAAAACGCAAUAAUUUUGGUGCUGGCGAACGCAUUUACCGUAGUUACACGGAUCGUCUCACGGCCACGAGGUCUCCCAAGCAAAACGUUUUAGCUACGUGCAAGUUCUUUGUUGCGUAUGCGCAUUAAAUUUUUGAUCGUUUAGUUACAGGUAAUUCCUGUUCUUGUAACCAUCUGACUUCGGAUACCAUUGAGCCAGCAAUUUAAGCAACGGUCUCCCUCACUACGAAUUACGGUUAAGACGUUCGUUAAAAUAUAUUAUCUCUUGCACCAAGUCGUAAAGAUACGGGUGAACGAUAAUACAGUGCAAAAUGGCAAUUCCAGCCUUA
Molecule: long non-coding RNA, 380 nt
Organism: Cephus cinctus (wheat stem sawfly)
Lineage: Eukaryota; Metazoa; Arthropoda; Insecta; Hymenoptera; Cephidae
Exons: 2
Source: RefSeq, a predicted model, not a curated record